This 232-nucleotide ribosomal RNA is filed under the name uncultured bacterium. Its description in RNAcentral is "partial 16S ribosomal RNA". It matches the Rfam family "Bacterial small subunit ribosomal RNA", at positions 104 to 339 of the family's 1533-position model. The record is from RNAcentral.
GGGUGAGUAACGCGUAGGAAUCUACCCAGUAGUGGGGGAUAGCCCGGGGAAACUCGGAUUAAUACCGCAUACGCCCUACGGGGGAAAGCGGGGGACCUUCGGGCCUCGCGCUAUUAGAUGAGCUUGCGUUGGAUUAGCUUGUUGGUGAGGUAAUGGCUCACCAAGGCGACGAUCCAUAGCUGGUCUGAGAGGAUGAUCAGCCACACCGGGACUGAGACACGGCCCGGACUCC